Molecule: long non-coding RNA, 538 nt
Filed under: Coturnix japonica (Japanese quail)
Lineage: Eukaryota; Metazoa; Chordata; Aves; Galliformes; Phasianidae
Description: lncRNA (ENSCJPG00005012591.1)
Source: RNAcentral
CUUUGAGACUUCACUUCUGUCACAGAGAGCUUGAAGCUAUAGAUUUAGCUUUCAAUACGUGGUUCCAGGAAGCCCUUUGGCGCUCUCACCUCUGGUUGAUUUUGCUGGCAAUCCAUACCAGCAACAUCUGACUUCUAAUUGGCUUUGAUGUCUCUUUCCACAGGCUUUCAGUUUUCUCUUUCCACAGGCUUUCAGUGUACCGCCUUAAAAAGACCAUUGUUCUAUAUGGAGGGUCUGGCAUGCCCAGGUUUACAGAGCCAGGUGGAAGUCAGAGGAAAACUGGACAGAAAGCAAGACUUGUUAUAUACCAGAUGUUUUUCUCUGAAUUAAAUUUUCCAAGGAUGGCAAGAGCCAUUGACCAGUACAUAAGAACAGCAGGACCCCAAGCAUAAUUUCCUCAGAACCACACUGUGGGUUUAGAAACACACUGCUGAAACCAAGGUAUUCUAAACAAUAUUAGAGAUUUUGGGAUGAAAACACCUGGAAAGCAUCUGAAAAGAUAUAGAAACUCACAGCUGCAUAGAUCUGAGAAAACUAG